This 1260-nucleotide ribosomal RNA is filed under the name Bacillus subtilis. RNAcentral's name for it is "bacterial SSU rRNA". It matches the Rfam family "Bacterial small subunit ribosomal RNA", at positions 21 to 1264 of the family's 1533-position model. The record is from RNAcentral. Lineage: Bacteria; Bacillati; Bacillota; Bacilli; Caryophanales; Bacillaceae.
GGCUCAGGACGAACGCUGGCGGCGUGCCUAAUACAUGCAAGUCGAGCGGACAGAUGGGAGCUUGCUCCCUGAUGUUAGCGGCGGACGGGUGAGUAACACGUGGGUAACCUGCCUGUAAGACUGGGAUAACUCCGGGAAACCGGGGCUAAUACCGGAUGGUUGUUUGAACCGCAUGGUUCAAACAUAAAAGGUGGCUUCGGCUACCACUUACAGAUGGACCCGCGGCGCAUUAGCUAGUUGGUGAGGUAACGGCUCACCAAGGCGACGAUGCGUAGCCGACCUGAGAGGGUGAUCGGCCACACUGGGACUGAGACACGGCCCAGACUCCUACGGGAGGCAGCAGUAGGGAAUCUUCCGCAAUGGACGAAAGUCUGACGGAGCAACGCCGCGUGAGUGAUGAAGGUUUUCGGAUCGUAAAGCUCUGUUGUUAGGGAAGAACAAGUACCGUUCGAAUAGGGCGGUACCUUGACGGUACCUAACCAGAAAGCCACGGCUAACUACGUGCCAGCAGCCGCGGUAAUACGUAGGUGGCAAGCGUUGUCCGGAAUUAUUGGGCGUAAAGGGCUCGCAGGCGGUUUCUUAAGUCUGAUGUGAAAGCCCCCGGCUCAACCGGGGAGGGUCAUUGGAAACUGGGGAACUUGAGUGCAGAAGAGGAGAGUGGAAUUCCACGUGUAGCGGUGAAAUGCGUAGAGAUGUGGAGGAACACCAGUGGCGAAGGCGACUCUCUGGUCUGUAACUGACGCUGAGGAGCGAAAGCGUGGGGAGCGAACAGGAUUAGAUACCCUGGUAGUCCACGCCGUAAACGAUGAGUGCUAAGUGUUAGGGGGUUUCCGCCCCUUAGUGCUGCAGCUAACGCAUUAAGCACUCCGCCUGGGGAGUACGGUCGCAAGACUGAAACUCAAAGGAAUUGACGGGGGCCCGCACAAGCGGUGGAGCAUGUGGUUUAAUUCGAAGCAACGCGAAGAACCUUACCAGGUCUUGACAUCCUCUGACAAUCCUAGAGAUAGGACGUCCCCUUCGGGGGCAGAGUGACAGGUGGUGCAUGGUUGUCGUCAGCUCGUGUCGUGAGAUGUUGGGUUAAGUCCCGCAACGAGCGCAACCCUUGAUCUUAGUUGCCAGCAUUCAGUUGGGCACUCUAAGGUGACUGCCGGUGACAAACCGGAGGAAGGUGGGGAUGACGUCAAAUCAUCAUGCCCCUUAUGACCUGGGCUACACACGUGCUACAAUGGACAGAACAAAGGGCAGCGAAACCGCGAGGUU